GCUUGAGCAAACAAUGCAGCGAUCUUUGGACCUGGAUGGUGAGACGGGGCAGGAGUGGAGGGCCAGUAAAACAACAGUACAGGUGAAUGGCUCCAGCCAAUCGGGGCCAACAUUAUAGUUUCGAUCUGAGCAGCCAGGUGCAAGAAAUGCCAGGCAUCUGUUGCUCUCUUGAAGCAUAAACAUUUUUAACGACUUACCAAAAGUAAGUUAUGACAGCUCUGAAAAUUGUGACUUCAUGACUGAUGUGCACAUCCAGGUGCUUUCAGAAAUGGAAUUUAAUACCUGGGCUCGAACACAAAGAGACGCUGUGUCGUCCAGGAGACCUCAACUUGAACUGCUUGCUAAAUUAGUUAUUGUGUGUGUGUGUGUGUGUGAGUGCCUGCAGGCACACAGAAAUAAACUUCUACCUGCAUGUAUGCACAGAUGUGCAUGCACAAAGACACAGGCACAUUAUGUUUUCACAGUGGUAACAGACCUAAUCGCCUUUGGGAAGAUGCAACUCAGACAUCAACAGGAAACACUAAUGCAUGUCAUGUGGAUCAAUUUUCAGACAAUCAAAGUGAGGGAAAAAAUGCUUCAAGAGCAUUCCAAAAGAACGUAUUGCAUUUCAUAACAUAGUGGUGUGAAAUUCCUCUUCCUGUUAAACAAGAGUUACCAGUAGGAAAAAUCAUAUUGGCAUUUCUGAUUUAAUUUAGGAAGUCUGGUGCAAUAAUUCUGCAAGAUUGUGUUAUGAUUUGUACUAAUUAAAGCAUGCAAUAAAAAAUGAUAUGUAUA
Molecule: long non-coding RNA, 774 nt
Organism: Siniperca chuatsi (mandarin fish)
Lineage: Eukaryota; Metazoa; Chordata; Actinopteri; Centrarchiformes; Sinipercidae
Exons: 2
Source: RefSeq, a predicted model, not a curated record